Molecule: long non-coding RNA, 1032 nt
Organism: Saccostrea cuccullata (small rock oyster)
Lineage: Eukaryota; Metazoa; Mollusca; Bivalvia; Ostreida; Ostreidae
Exons: 3
Source: RefSeq, a predicted model, not a curated record
AUAAUUUUAGAACAUUCAAUUUAAUGUGUUUUCCUUUUUUAAAGACUUCAUUUUUCAUUGCUGCAACAUUUUUUAAUGUUAUUUUCAAAAUGUUCUUAAAACAUUCAAAUAAUGUAUGAUUGCGAUUUUCCUAAAAUUUAGUUUAUGAAGAAAAAAAAAAAGAAUAUAUAGAAAGAAUAGUGUUGAAAUGAGGAAUUGUAGUAAUUUUUUAAUUGAAAGAUUUUUUCCGGUAUUUUAUAAUGAUUUCUAGUUUUGGCUUAUUGAUUAAACAGACAUAUAUAAAGUCCUUUAAUUAAAACAAAUCAAAAAAUCAAUAAAUGAAAGGAUAGGCAAACACAAAAUUUAAAAUAUAAGUAAAUGUAUAAAAUCAUAAGCAUUUGAUAAAACUCUUAAUGUUUUUUUUAAAAUGUUCUUCAUCAAAUCUGUGAUCCACUCCCAGGAUUUUACUCUGAGGCAUUAGAUAGGGAUUGGCACACUGGUCAGUUUCAGUGUCAUGAUAACCUAUUAUGCAAUUUUCCUGCUGGGCAGCGCGUUACAGAGUAUAGUGGUUUGCAGCUUAUCUAGGCCAAAUUUUGAAUUCUGGUAAACAAGAUGUGCGCGCUUACUCCGUGCCGGUUUGAAUGAGAAGACUUUGCACCAUAAAACCACAAUAAUAAGCUCGGGAUUUAUUAACUUUGAAUGCAUGGUGUUGAUUGCAUCAUCCGUAUUUUCAAAUUCCCCCAUUCAAAAGACCCGCCUUUGGUGAAGCCAAAGGUGUUGUGCUAUUCGUUCCGAGGGGCGGAUUCCUUAUCAGCCUUUUCAGUGUAUGUGAUUCUAACUAAGUCUUAUAGAUCCGCCGCUCUGUUCGACCUAUACUGUGAACAUAGGAUUUCUGUGAUUCUGUUCUUUUAAAAUUCAGUGAAUGGAUUAGACGCCGUUUUCACCCUUUAAAAACCCGGUGACUUGAAAGAAAAUAAAUUAAAACUUGUACCGAGAAUGGAAUUUAAAUGUGAUUAACAUAUUGAAUAUGGGUUUGUAUUAAAGGUUCAAAAA